RNAcentral lists this ribosomal RNA (292 nucleotides) under uncultured bacterium. Its description in RNAcentral is "partial 16S ribosomal RNA". It matches the Rfam family "Bacterial small subunit ribosomal RNA", at positions 505 to 796 of the family's 1533-position model. The record is from RNAcentral.
GUGUCAGCAGCCGCGGUAAUACGUAGGCAGCAAGCGUUGUUCGGAAUUACUGGGCGUAAAGCGUGCGUAGGCGGUGCCUCAAGUUUGGUGUGAAAUCUCCCGGCUCAACCGGGAGGGUGCGCCGAAAACUGAGGUGCUCGAGUGUGGGAGAGGUAGGCGGAAUUCCUGGUGUAGCGGUGAAAUGCGUAGAUAUCAGGAGGAACACCGGCGGUGUAGACGGCUUACUGGACCAUAACUGACGCUGAGGCACGAAAGUGUGGGGAGCAAACAGGAUUAGAAACCCUCGUAGUCC